GCAACCUACCUAUCGAGAGGGGAAUAACCCGGCGAAAGUCGGACUAAUACCGCAUAAAACAGGGGCACCGCAUGGUGAUAUUUGUUAAAGAAAUUCGCUGAUAGAUGGGCAUGCGUUCCAUUAGGUAGUUGGUGAGGUAACGGCUCACCAAGCCGACGAUGGAUAGGGGAACUGAGAGGUUGGUCCCCCACACUGGUACUGAGACACGGACCAGACUCCUACGGGAGGCAGCAGUGAGGAAUAUUGGUCAAUGGGCGGGAGCCUGAGCCAGCCAAGUCGCGUGGAAAAGGAAGAAGGAUCUAUGGUUCGUAAACUUCUUUUGCAGGGGAAUAAAGUGCAGGACGUGUCCUGUUUUGUAUGUACCCUGAGAAUAAGGAUCGGCUAACUCCGUGCCAGCAGCCGC
RNAcentral lists this ribosomal RNA (403 nucleotides) under uncultured bacterium. RNAcentral's name for it is "bacterial SSU rRNA". It matches the Rfam family "Bacterial small subunit ribosomal RNA", at positions 121 to 518 of the family's 1533-position model. The record is from RNAcentral.